Molecule: ribosomal RNA, 492 nt
Filed under: uncultured bacterium
Lineage: Bacteria
Description: partial 16S ribosomal RNA
Rfam family: Bacterial small subunit ribosomal RNA
Source: RNAcentral
AGUGAACGCUGGCGGUAGGCCUAACACAUGCAAGUCGAACGGCAGCACAGUAAGAGCUUGCUCUUACGGGUGGCGAGUGGCGGACGGGUGAGGAAUACAUCGGAAUCUACUUUUUCGUGGGGGAUAACGUAGGGAAACUUACGCUAAUACCGCAUACGACCUACGGGUGAAAGCAGGGGAUGUUCGGACCUUGCGCGAUUGAAUGAGCCGAUGUCGGAUUAGCUAGUUGGCGGGGUAAAGGCGCACCAAGGCGACGAUCCGUAGCUGGUCUGAGAGGAUGAUCAGCCACACUGGAACUGAGACACGGUCCAGACUCCUACGGGAGGCAGCAGUGGGGAAUAUUGGACAAUGGGCGCAAGCCUGAUCCAGCCAUACCGCGUGGGUGAAGAAGGCCUUCGGGUUGUAAAGCCCUUUUGUUGGGAAAGAAAAGCAGCAGGUUAAUACCCCGCUGUUCUGACGGUACCCAAAGAAUAAGCACCGGCUAACUUCGUG